This is a non-coding RNA of Triticum urartu, 2437 nucleotides long. NCBI's taxonomy places the organism in Eukaryota, Viridiplantae, Streptophyta, Magnoliopsida, Poales, Poaceae. The record is from RefSeq and is a predicted model, not a curated record.
CAAACGGACUCAGCGGAUGAAAUGCGUAAUUGGAGUUGCCCUGACUCCUAGAGAUCCGGACCAAUGGAAGGUCGCAUCCAACGUCUGAUGACGCCCCGACAACAAAGUCGUCGCCUGGUCUCCUCCGCCGCUCCCGCCACUCUCCUGCUCCUACUCCUCGCCGGCGCCGCCGACGCCGUGCCACCGCUAGUCGGAGUUUCUCCCCAGGACGAGGCGUACUUCGCGCCGCAGGUGAUUGCCUGCAGGGACGGCUCGGGCUCCUUCCCCAGGAGCCGGCUCAACGAUGGAUACUGCGAUUGCACCGAUGGAACCGACGAGCCAGGCACUUCGGCUUGCCCAGAAGGCAAAUUUUAUUGUACAAACAUUGGAGAUCUUCCUCGUAUCUUGUUCUCUUCGUUUGUGAAUGAUAACAUUUGCGAUUGCUGUGAUGGAAGUGAUGAGUAUGAAAGUGGCAUCCAUUGUCCGAACACAUGUAAAAAGAGACAUGAUGCUGCCGAGACAGACAAUGGUUUUAGUGAGCUGUCAGUCGCACAUUUAGGUGGAACAGACAUAAUUUCUAGUAAACAUACACUUGACAUAGAAGAUCUUAUCCAGAAGCUAAGAGGAUUAAGAAUGGCUGCAGUUAUUGAACUGGGUCUUGUUGUAUGUAUUUUCGUUUUCUACUUUGCUCGACGGAGCACUCGGGCACGGAGGAGACAAUAUAUUUUGAAACGUUAGAAAAGUUUUAAGCUUCUAGGGCUGAUCGAGAAUUGGAGAUGGGAAGGUCAGGCAUCCACAAGCAGUUGCAGCCGACACAAGGAGCCAGUCAGCCAGUGGCGCUUUGGCCAGCCCCGUAGAUUGUCGUCUGGCGGAUUGCGACUGUUAUCCUAGGGCAGAGGGAAGGCUAUGAAGUUCCGUCCGUGCUUGUUAUGCGAACUGAAGUUUUGACUGCCGCUUCUCUUACCUUGAUCGCUGCCUGUUUUGUCUUUGGGGAUCGAUGCAUCAUUGUUUGUUCUCGUAGGUGCAUCAAUCUUUGAUCACAUGAUGCUUGCCUUGAUGUAAUGUCUACGGUGGUGUAAGAAACUCUGGCUGGUGGUAAUGCGUAACCUGUUUAUUAUAUCAUCACUCUAACCACGGUACGUAUGACAAUAUUUCAUCCGACACUGAACCAUCGCCCUUGAUCAAACAGUAUCCAACUUCACACUCUUGCAUCGGUAACUUCACCUUUUGAACCUUAAACCCUUUCUAGAAACGAAAUCACCUCAUGAGAAAAAGAAAAGAAAAGAAAAGAAAAGAAAAGACCUGCUGGGCCUUUGGGCUUACGAUGAUAUACCCACCCCACAAUGUUCCUGGCCCACUAGGGUUUUACGCCUCGUCCUUCACCCGCCUCUUCGGCCUCGUCGCACUCUGCCUAUAAUCUAUAAAUCCCCCCGAACCCUAAACCCUUUCGCGGCGCCGCCGCCGUCUCGGAGCAUCGCACGGCAGCAAGCCCAUCGCCCCCCACCGCCGCACGGCGACCUCAGCAACUCCGGCCAGGAUGGUCGCGUUCAGGUGCAGUUCCACCAGUACCAGGUGGUCGGGAGGGGCCUGCCGACGCCGACCGAGGAUCAUCCCAGGAUCUACCGCAUGAAGCUCUGGGCCACCAACGAGGUCCGCGCCAAGUCCAAGUUCUGGUGAGGACAUGAUUCAAAUUUGGAAGCCUCUCGAGAAUGCGUGAAGAAGAGCAACGGCCAGAUCCUCGCCUUCAACGAGAUUUUUGAGAAGAACCCCACCACAAUCGAGAACUUUGGUAUCUGGCUGCGUUACCAAAGCAGGACAGGAUACCACAACAUGUACAACGAGUACAGCGACACCACCCUCAAUGGCGCGGUCGAGCAGAUGUACACUGAGAUGGCUUCUCGCCACUGUGCUGCAUCCAGAUCAUCAAGACAGCCACUGUCCACUCCCAACAUCUGCAAGCGUGAUAACACUAAGCAGUUUCACAAGUCAGACAUCAGGUUCCUGCUGGUCUACCAGAAGGUCAGGCCACCAAGUAGGAAACUGCAGACGACCUUCAAGGCCUCAAGGCCAAACUUGUUCGUGUGAUCUAAGUCAUCCGUCCAUAACCUGUAAGCCCGUCCGUUGUGAAGUACUCCCUCCGUUCCUAAAUAUAAGUCUUUUAAGAAAUUUCAAAUGGAUUACAAUAUACAGAUGUAUGUAGACAUUUUAGAGUGCAGAUUCACUUAUUUUGCUCUGUAUAUAGUCAUUUGUUGGAAUCUCUAGAAAGACUUGUAUUUGGGAACGGAGGGAGUAUACUGCUAGUUCAUAUUAAUAUUAUCCAUAUGCAAAAUGUUUUUUUCCUUGAUUAUAGAUAGCAGUUCCAUGCAAUGGCCUUUAUGGGCUUGACAACACUUGUUUAAUCUGUGUAACCCUUUAUGGGCUUGUCAACACUUGUUUAACCUGUGUACAUUUUUGGUUA